Molecule: ribosomal RNA, 301 nt
Filed under: uncultured bacterium
Lineage: Bacteria
Description: partial 16S ribosomal RNA
Rfam family: Bacterial small subunit ribosomal RNA
Source: RNAcentral
CAGCAGCCGCGGUAAUACGGAGGGAGCUAGCGUUGUUCGGAAUUACUGGGCGUAAAGCGCGCGUAGGCGGUUACUCAAGUCAGAGGUGAAAGCCCGGGGCUCAACCCCGGAACUGCCUUUGAAACUAGGUGACUAGAAUCUUGGAGAGGUCAGUGGAAUUCCGAGUGUAGAGGUGAAAUCCGUAGAUAUUCGGAAGAACACCAGUGGCGAAGGCGACUGACUGGACAAGUAUUGACGCUGAGGUGCGAAAGCGUGGGGAGCAAACAGGAUUAGAUACCCGAGUAGUCCCUGUCUCUUAUAC